Long non-coding RNA from Canis lupus familiaris (dog), 679 nucleotides. RefSeq lists it as uncharacterized. The record is from RefSeq and is a predicted model, not a curated record. The transcript has 3 exons. NCBI's taxonomy places the organism in Eukaryota, Metazoa, Chordata, Mammalia, Carnivora, Canidae.
GGCGGAGGCGAGUGAGGUCUCACCAGUGCCUGAGGUGGCCCGCCCGCUGUACCAGAGCAGGAAGCCUCGUCCUCCCGUGCCCUCGUCCGCCGUCAUCCUCAGGGUCACCUGGUUGCCGGGGGCGACUAAGGGCGCAGGCCGGAAGGUCCCGCAGAAGCGUCCAAGCCGCUGGCCCGAGGUUCCAGACCCGGCAAAGACCUCCAGAGCAUCAUAACGGCAGGCGGGGUGCAGCUCCAAAUCAAAGACUCGGAAGGAAAGGGACACAGUCUGGCCCUCAGGGACCUGAAGGCGGGGACAGGGAAGAGGACCUGCAAAGUCAGGCCACACACAACCCAGGCAGAGGGUACCUGUCCUUCCCCAAGCAUUUCAUACAGAUACUGGGCCUGAACAGAAAGGGACCCCAUCAGCGUGCAGAGCAGAGGACCUGGGCUCUGCAGCAGCUUUUGGCUUGUGCACGGGACAAGACCUGAGGUCCUGGAGAGAUUGGAGGACUGGGAAUGAAGCUGGAAGUGGAGAAGCAGACCUUAAGUAAGAUGCACUUGACCUCCCAGCUGCCAAAUCCUGGGGCCUCUGCUGCACACUUCCUCCUGAGAUUAUGAGGCCUUUAAUUUUGAAGACCACAGAUUUUAUCUAUUCAUGAGAGACACAGAGAGAGACAGAGGCAGAAGGAGAGGCAGGC